AGAUUGAACGCUGGCGGCAGGCCUAACACAUGCAAGUCGAGCGGUAGAGAGGUGCUUGCACCUCUUGAGAGCGGCGGACGGGUGAGUAAUGCCUAGGAAUCUGCCUAGUGGUGGGGGAUAACGUUCGGAAACGGACGCUAAUACCGCAUACGUCCUACGGGAGAAAGCGGGGGACCUUCGGGCCUCGCGCCAUUAGAUGAGCCUAGGUCGGAUUAGCUAGUUGGUGAGGUAAUGGCUCACCAAGGCGACGAUCCGUAACUGGUCUGAGAGGAUGAUCAGUCACACUGGAACUGAGACACGGUCCAGACUCCUACGGGAGGCAGCAGUGGGGAAUAUUGGACAAUGGGCGAAAGCCUGAUCCAGCCAUGCCGCGUGUGUGAAGGAAGGUCUUCGGAUUGUAAAGCACUUUAAGUUGGAGGAAGGUUGUAACUUAAUACGUUGCAACUUUGACGUUACCGACAGAAUAAGCACCGACUAACUUGUGCCAGCAGCCG
Molecule: ribosomal RNA, 494 nt
Filed under: uncultured soil bacterium
Lineage: Bacteria
Description: bacterial SSU rRNA
Rfam family: Bacterial small subunit ribosomal RNA
Source: RNAcentral